CCUACGGGAGGCAGCAGUGAGGAAUAUUGGUCAAUGGGCGCGAGCCUGCACCAGCCAAGUAGCGUGAAGGAUGACUGCCCUACGGGUUGUAAACUUCUUUUAUAAGGGAAUAAAGUGAGGCACGUGUACUUUUUUGUAUGUACUUUAUGAAUAAGGAUCGGCUAACUCCGUGCCAGCAGCCGCGGUAAUACGGAGGAUCCGAGCGUUAUACGGAUUUAUUGGGUUUAACGGGAGCGUAGAGGGGUUGUUAAGUCAGUUGUGAAAGUUUGCGGAUCAACCGUAAAAUUGCAAUUGAUACUGGCAGUCUUGAGGACAGUUGAGGUAGGCGGAAUUCGUGGUGUAGCGGUGAAAUGCUUAGAUAUCACGAAGAACUCCGAUUGCGAAGGCAGCCUACUAGACUGCCACUGACACUGAUGCUCGAAAGUGUGGGUAUCAAACAGGAUUAGAUACCCCAGUAGUC
Molecule: ribosomal RNA, 460 nt
Filed under: uncultured bacterium
Lineage: Bacteria
Description: partial 16S ribosomal RNA
Rfam family: Bacterial small subunit ribosomal RNA
Source: RNAcentral